RNAcentral lists this long non-coding RNA (617 nucleotides) under Homo sapiens (human). RNAcentral's name for it is "HSALNT0079034". The record is from RNAcentral. Lineage: Eukaryota; Metazoa; Chordata; Mammalia; Primates; Hominidae.
GGAGGGACAGUAUUUUUAUUUCUAUGGCUUCCUUACCACAACAGAGGAAGCUUAGUGGCCACAGGGGUCUAGUUAAUGAGCGGGUUAUACAAUAUUCAUUGUGUUGAGUUUAAGUCUUCAAACAGAACGUCUAAUUGCAAAAAGAAAGAAGGAAGCCCAAUUACAGAUGUUAAGACAACAAAGCUCAGGAAUAACUCCCUCUGUUGAUGAAAGUGUCCUCUCCCGGGUUCCUCCACUAACUGCACAUUGACAGAGGCACAAUGAGUCCCUGUCUUCAUCAGUUAUUCUCAUUAUCUCUGCUCUGUCUGGGACACUCUCCAGGGCCCAAGGAGGGCCACUGAGAGGUCUGGGGUGACAGUCUUCUCAGAGGACUGUUUUCUUGCUACCCACAGAAGGAGUGAUCCAGUUGUACUCUGCUUGAACCAAAACAAAACUGUUCUCCCCAAUCUUCCUGACGUGCACAGUCUCACCACUGUUGCUCCUGGCAACAGCAUCCGAAGCGGGCUCACUGAAAGACACUUCUGUCUGCUGGUGGCAAUACUGGGUGUGCAGGUAGCGAAGGCCAGCGGCCAGGGGCCGUGGGUUGGUCUGCCGAGGGUAUCCCACUCCACCCUCUC